Molecule: long non-coding RNA, 580 nt
Organism: Lotus japonicus
Lineage: Eukaryota; Viridiplantae; Streptophyta; Magnoliopsida; Fabales; Fabaceae
Exons: 2
Source: RefSeq, a predicted model, not a curated record
UUCGUCCAACCGAACAGCUUUUGGUAAACCAAAUUACAAUGGAUACAUUAAUUAUCUUUUUUUUUUUUUUGGUGUAGGUAACCAAUUUCACUACCUGUAUCCGAACACCCGAUUUCGCCCAUUGUUCGCGCAUUAAGUGAUAAGAGACUAGUCAAUCAAACCUUUACCAUUUGUUUAAGAGAUGAAGUGUUGAACUACUACAUCAACUGAUUUGAUUUGGAUACAUUAUUUUUUUAUACUAUUUUGUCCAGAUUUAAAAAGGAAAAAAAUACUCUUAACUAUUAAUAAGACACAUUUUAUUUUGGGUGAGUGAUCAAGGCGUUAACUCUGGCUCUACGGGAAGAGCCGCCAGCAAAGGUUAUGAAUACGAUUGAAUAGAACAAGAGGAUCAUCUCAGCUUCUCGCCAAAGGAUGGAUGCUUCUAUUGUGAGCUUAUUUGAUGGUGAUAAGAAACAAUAAACUGAAGUGAGCUUGUCUUUUCCUCUUUGCCUAAAAUGUUAUAUCUUGUACAUUUGUUAUAUGCUUUUUUAUUAUGUUCGAAUUAAUCUCUUGAUGGAUAUUCUCAAAUUAUAUCGGUGAA